RNAcentral lists this long non-coding RNA (650 nucleotides) under Salvator merianae (Argentine black and white tegu). Its description in RNAcentral is "lncRNA (ENSSMRG00000007914.1)". The record is from RNAcentral. Lineage: Eukaryota; Metazoa; Chordata; Lepidosauria; Squamata; Teiidae.
AAUCCCCACUCGUGACUGCAACUAUGCCUAUCAGUAAGGACCUCAGAAAGAAACACCUUGAAAGCGCUUUCUUGUGUGCUCGAAAUGCCGUGCAAUUUACUACAAAACCCAGAGGAAUUUUUCUCCAGGGAAAAACCCGCUUGCAGCAACAUUCUUUCAUUUCNUAAUGGAGGGGAGNGAUUUGUCCAGCCCUGGAUGGUGCCAUUUCCUGUUUAAUUCAAAAGGAAAGUGUGAUUGUUCCNCUAAAGAACGCACUGGANGACUUCACUGGGAGAACCUGGUGGAUAUCUAAAAUGGCAAUGAUGAAAGNGGGUCUCCUAUUGCUACUAGCUGUAUUUCUUCACAUUUUAGAAGGGUUUGUUUCAAUAGAGAGGAUUUCUGAAAAGAUGGUUUCGAUCUACGAUGAAGAUCAUGAGAAUUAUUCCAUUUACUACAACGACAGUGAAGAUUUCUUCUNUUCCUAUUAUUAUUAUGACGAUAACUUCACCUAUUCCGUUGAAAAUGGCACAGUGGUUUAUCCUCUGACUGCAACUCCAUCACAAAAAACUCCUGAAAGCUCAGCAAGGCUUUUAUUGCCGUGCACUUUCUCUGUGGUGAGCCUGCUUCAAAUUCUUCACUUCCACACGCAANACCUCUGGAUAUGGUUAUAG